AUUGAACGCUGGCGGCAUGCCUUACACAUGCAAGUCGAACGGUAGAGUAGCAAUACUCGAGAGUGGCGAACGGGUGAGUAAUAUAUCGGAACGUGCCCAAUCGUGGGGGAUAACGUAGAGAAAUUUACGCUAAUACCGCAUACGAUCUAAGGAUGAAAGCGGGGGAUCGCAAGACCUCGCGCGAAUUGGAGCGGCUGAUA
Molecule: ribosomal RNA, 200 nt
Filed under: uncultured bacterium
Lineage: Bacteria
Description: partial 16S ribosomal RNA
Rfam family: Bacterial small subunit ribosomal RNA
Source: RNAcentral